Molecule: microRNA precursor, 110 nt
Filed under: Dinoponera quadriceps
Lineage: Eukaryota; Metazoa; Arthropoda; Insecta; Hymenoptera; Formicidae
Description: microRNA dqu-mir-190 precursor
Gene: dqu-mir-190
Rfam family: mir-190 microRNA precursor family (bases 12-88)
Source: miRBase by way of RNAcentral
GAACCGUUCUGCCCUUCGCGAGAUAUGUUUGAUUUUCUUGGUCGUUUAUAAAUGAUCGACCAGGAAUCGAACAUAUUAUUGCGGCGGGUAGAGAAGUCGACGUUGCGAGU